GUCGGAGUGGCGGAAUUGGUAGACGCGCCAGGUUGAGGGCCUGGUGGAGCAUGGCUCUGUGGGGGUUCGAGUCCCCCCUCCGACA
Molecule: transfer RNA, 85 nt
Filed under: Acidimicrobiia bacterium
Lineage: Bacteria; Bacillati; Actinomycetota; Acidimicrobiia
Also listed under: 1 other name
Description: tRNA-Leu
Rfam family: tRNA
About the family: Transfer RNA (tRNA) molecules are approximately 80 nucleotides in length. Their secondary structure includes four short double-helical elements and three loops (D, anti-codon, and T loops). Further hydrogen bonds mediate the characteristic L-shaped molecular structure. tRNAs have two regions of fundamental functional importance: the anti-codon, which is responsible for specific mRNA codon recognition, and the 3' end, to which the tRNAs corresponding amino acid is attached (by aminoacyl-tRNA synthetases). tRNAs cope with the degeneracy of the genetic code in two manners: having more than one tRNA (with a specific anti-codon) for a particular amino acid; and 'wobble' base-pairing, i.e. permitting non-standard base-pairing at the 3rd anti-codon position.
Source: RNAcentral